CUAUGCAUAAAUUGGUCCGAUUGAGUUAUGCAAAUUUUUUAAAUAAUCUAUAUUGGUUCUAUAUAUGAUUAGAACAAUAUGAUACGAUGCACAUCGGUCCGCUUUACUGGCAACUAUCUUUCAAGAUGGAGGGGAGGCACUCGUGUGGACCUGCUCAAUGUUCGAGGAGAUACGGCUGACUAAACAAGGUCAUUUUAAAGUUCUUUGUGGUUCAUGUUAGCUAUCUAUCAGUAAUAGUACAACCUUGAUUUUUAUGUCAUUCAGGUUUACCUAACCAUCAGUAACAUUACUUUCUAUUGGAGACUUCUUACAGGAGGUGCUUAUAAAAUGAUAAUUGAACAUGUACAGAUUUGGGAUCACGAUCAUCUAUUUACCAGGCAUCAGUAAACUCAAGGCACCGAUCAAAAUCUAGCAUUGUUUGUUGUGUGCAGCAUGGAGAAGACAAAGAACAGAGAUUGUGUGAUAUAUCCGAUAUCGCAAUAUAAUUUUCUCUUGCAUAUUUAUAAUCUGCCAUUUGAAUGAUGUUUUCUGUGUUGUAGUCCAAUCAAGACAAUUUGCAACUUUGGUGUUAUAACAGCAAUGGGGGACUGUUUGUUGAUGCCCGACCCAUGAUGUCGGCGAAGGAAUGAGAGUCGACGAGGAGUGGACGCCAUGGGUUCGUGAACUGGCGAAGCCUCCGUUGUCCGUUUGGUAAUGUCCGACGCAUAAGAGGCAUAGUAUGACUUGCCCCGAUUAUGAUGUCGUCUACAAACAUCCGACGGAGGGCAACCCAUCCCUGUUUCCAUCUUGAUGUUUCAGUUGUUGAGCUCUGCACUACAAAACCGAGAAAGACCCAAGGCUUUUUACAGACUACAAAUAGAGGGAAGUUGGCAUGUGCCUUACUAGAGACAGAUGAACCAAUAAAUGAUUGGAAAGGUUCUUCCCAAGCAAAAGAUUACCUAUGAUGAAAAUUACAUUCUCUGCGGGCGCUGAUUCAGAUAUAUUACUAUGGGCAAAGGAAGUUCAAAAUUUAUCUCAAUCAACAUGUGCAAAGGAAAAUUCAAAAUAUGUUAUGUCACGAAAAGAUUCGUAAACCGGUGAAGUAUCUAGAGGGCUUAUUAGGACACUGCUCAUAUUGUUUGAUACUUUACCAUCUGGGGAUUAGGCUAUCGGUGAACACGACAAUGCGGCUGUUGGUCACGGAUGCCGGGGGCGUGAGCGGGGUUGAGGAGCUCACGUGGUGCUAUACAUGACGACCUGCGAGUGGUGGCAGGAGGUGGCAUGCCUGCUGCUUGGCUGGAAGUCCGACAUGAACUCCCACGACCGACUGUAAGCAUGGUUGUGAAGACCUUCCAGCAUUACCCCAGGAAGCUAACACAUCAGCUUGUGCCAUACGUGGUGUUUUCUUGUUGAUGAAUGUUGGUCUAGGUAAUCUCCUUGAUGAACCAUGUGACAAUUAAUAAAGUUAAUAAAGGACAGCAUACUCUUUUUGUC
This is a long non-coding RNA of Triticum dicoccoides, 1473 nucleotides long. RefSeq lists it as uncharacterized. Lineage: Eukaryota; Viridiplantae; Streptophyta; Magnoliopsida; Poales; Poaceae. The record is from RefSeq and is a predicted model, not a curated record. The transcript has 5 exons.